RNAcentral lists this ribosomal RNA (253 nucleotides) under uncultured bacterium. Its description in RNAcentral is "partial 16S ribosomal RNA". It matches the Rfam family "Bacterial small subunit ribosomal RNA", at positions 524 to 776 of the family's 1533-position model. The record is from RNAcentral.
UACAGAGGUCUCAAGCGUUGUCCGGAAUUAUUGGGCGUAAAGAGCUCGUAGGCGGUUUGUCGCGUCGAAUGUGAAAACCCGGGGCUCAACCCCGGGCCUGCAUUCGAUACGGGCAGACUAGAGUUCGGUAGGGGAGUCUGGAAUUCCUGGUGUAGCGGUGAAAUGCGCAGAUAUCAGGAGGAACACCGGUGGCGAAGGCGGGACUCUGGGCCGAUACUGACGCUGAGGAGCGAAAGCGUGGGGAGCAAACAGG